Trachemys scripta elegans is the source of this 1365-nucleotide long non-coding RNA. RefSeq lists it as uncharacterized. Lineage: Eukaryota; Metazoa; Chordata; Testudines; Emydidae. The record is from RefSeq and is a predicted model, not a curated record. The transcript has 4 exons.
UUAGAGGCUGUAUGAGCUGGGAGUUUUGACAUAGCUUUAAUCUCUUCUCUCACAUCAAAGUCACGCUGCUGGUAUUUACAAACGGCAGGUGUGAGGCUUAAUUCUCUGAAUGACUGUCGUGUCAUCUUAUGAUUUUGGUGGCCUGAGUCAUUAUAUUUGAAUGCUUGGAACUGGCAAUGCUGCAAAUUAUUCAGAAAGCAUCACAACCCUGUGUGAGCUAGUAAUUAACCCUUAAGGAAUGCCCAAUUGCCACACCAAAAGAAGCUAAUACAAAAUUACCAGGGAUUAAAGCAAAAGAAGGAGAUGCUGAUCUCCUGGGCUGUAUGCUGCUCUACCAGAACGAAGGAGCCUCCUUGUUGCCCAUUGUUUCGUCAAAAAAAUUCCAGACCAGUUCUAUCCUGGAUGAUGUAUAGCUCCUUUCCAGCAAACCUGGACAGCACAGCUUCCUUGCUUUCCUAGUAACUGGCCAAGACAGAGACUUCAAUGAGACUGACCUGGCUGAAGGACAGUGUGGAAAAGAUGGAGACCCUGCUGGUUGUCAGUGGCAAUAUUGCUCAUAAGUAAGCUGUGCUGUCAAGGAAGCUGGGGAAGGAAGAGUGGUCAAGGAGUUGACAAUCCUUGUGGAUACCCCAAUAUCUAGAGGUCUAGGAUCAAGAUUCUCCACUGACUCUCACGCUCCUUCGGGGGUAAGUAUUUUUUAUCCAUUGAACAGGCACAACAAUGGCAGUGCAGACUUCCCCAUUUACUGGAAAGAUAUUUGAUAAAAAGAUUUGCUUGUAUUUAUAAGAAAAAUCAACUGUAAAACACAGGAUUCAUUUUAUAAUUGAAUUAAGACAUUCUAGGGGUGAAUUAACAUAUAUCUUGUGUGGCUGAAGAUGCAAAUUUAUACAACAGGUGCCUAUAACUUCACUCCUCCCAACCCAUCUGAGAGGUGUGUUAAUGGUCCAAUAAAACGUGGCAGUGGUGUUACCCUGCUUAUUAGGAAACACUGUAAUAAUAGGCAUAUUGCUUGUGCUUUUAAAAAAAAUAUUAAACCAACUAAGAGGAAAAAUCCCAGCAAUAAGCAGAUUUUCCUUCUAAAGCCAACAUAAGUUCAAAUACAGUGUUGGCCAGUGUUCAAAUUACAUUAUAACAGUUCUGUGUGACUCCAAUAAAAAUGCACAUAAGACUCCACAGAAUAAUUCAUGGCUCAUUGAUGAUGAAGUGGCUGUGACUUGGAAAGCAUCUGGAGGUACUUGUAAACUCAAGAUGGUUACCCACUCACAAUUUAGAAUCUCUCCCCAGAAUAAUCUGGAUGUGCACAGUUCAAACAUACACACUGGCUUUUUUUUCUGGACCCAUUAAAUGAUUUUACUAUUUUUAAUU